AUGGCAGGUAUCCUCAGAGGUUGUGAGGCCUGUUGGAAACUAGGCAAGUGGAAUUUAUAUAUCUGUGGAAUAUUCAGCUUGAAACUGCAAGGUUCUUCAAUGUUAAUCAAUGUACCUAAUUACACCAUUCAUACGUCCUAUACCGACACUAUUAAUUCCUAUUCAACCUGGCCAACCAACAAUACCACAAGGUACAAAGCAGCCAGGCUUCCAACCAGCAAGGCUCUUCACUGCUGUUCAACCAGACCAACCAACAAUUUCCCUACAUAAAACCCCCCAUCCUUUCAACCCAUGAACCUAUUCCAUCCCAUUCAACCUUGCCUAACAAGGAUGCCCUAUAUACAAAACAACCACCCUUUAAAACAGCAAAGCUAUUCACGUCAAUUCCAAUUGCCCACAGCAAUGCGUGGCAGGCCACAGCUAGUUAAUAAUAAUCUUUUAUAAGUAUUUCCUGAAGGAGAGGAAGGGAAGGAGAAAAAAAAAGCUAAAAAUGUGAAAGCCCUCAAAUGCACGUGCAGGUGCACCUUGUCCACCAUCCCUCAGGCUCUCAACUUCCAGUCAAUCAUACUAAAUAAAAAGAAUCAGGAAAAUAAAGGAAAAUAAAAAAAUUCAACUGUAGGUUUAGUUCAACCGAAGGUACCGAAGGAAAUGGAACAAACAAAAUCCGCACACAAGUCUACUAUACAUUGUUGCUAACAGAUUUGUGUAAAAAUCUAAAGCAACUAUUAGGUGGCAUUCAGAACCUUUAACUGUUUUUCAAAUUGUUCAUGACCCCCCAUUUUUUUCUUAUUGGGCUCCAUUUGAAGUCAGGACCCACAAUUUAAGAAGCAGUGCCCUAGAUGACAGGGUCAAUAUUCAAAAUGGUGUUGGCAGAUUGGAGAAUUGGGCCAACAUUAAUAAGAUAAAUAUGAGGUUCUGUAUUUAGGCAGGAAACCCAAAUAUAGGAUGGUUCAUGUGAAAACAAUCUACUGUGUUUCCCCGAUAAUAAGACAGUGUCUCAUAUUAAUUUUUGCUCCCAAAGAUGCUCUAGGUCUUAUUUUCAGGUGAUGUCUUAUUUUUCCAUGAAGAAGAAUUCACAUUUAUUGUUGAACAAAAAAAUGAACAUUUAUUAUAUACUGCACAGUAGUUGUCAUCACAAACCAGCAUAACCAAACAAACUGUGAAUCCUAUCAAGAAUUUCUUGUUACUACCAAUAUUUCCAUGUACUACACUCUAUGGUACGUACAUUUACCGAUCCUGCAUGCUCUGGCGUUCUGUUCAACGGACAUGCUUCCAAACAAAAACUUUGCUACGUCUUACUUUCGGGGGAGGCCUUAUAUUUAGGAAUUCAGCAAAACCUCUACUAGGUCUUAUUUUCUGGGGAUGUCUUAUUUUAGGGGAAACAGGGUAGGAGUCUCAGAGGAACUCAAGCUAGACAUGAAUAAAAAAAACCCAUCAUAGUCUUGGCUGCACCAACAGGAGCACAGUAUUCAGAUUGUUGUGUUUUAUUCUGGUUUGGGUCAGUUCUCACUUGGAAUACUGUGCCCACUUCUGGGCACCACAACUGUAGAAAGAUAUUGACCAAAUGAAACAUGUCCAGAGAAAGUCAGCAAAUACAAUAAAAGGACUGGAAACCAAACCUAAUGAGGAACAACUUUUUUGGGUGGGUGGGUGGGGGAGCUUGAGGAAGAGAAGGUGACAUGGUAACCAUCUUAAAUUAUCUCAAGGGAUGUCAUGUAGAAGAUGAAGUGAACUUGUUCCUGCUAGAACACAAACCAACAAAGAGAUUCUUCCUUAACAUUAGGGAGAUCCUUUUUCAUCUGAAAGCUGUUGAAAAGUGGAAUGGGUUCUUGGUGCUUCAUUUCUGAAAGAUUUUCAACAGAGAUUGGAUGAGUAUCUUUCAGAUUUGUAUUAGUUGUAUAUUCAUGCAUUGUAGGAUUUAAGAUUACAUAGAUAGCCUUCUAGCUCUAAGAUUCUAUGAUUCUUUAGUAGGCCCAACAUUCAACUGUUAGUUUCAACUAAAGCAGUGGUUCCCUACCUGUGGUCCAUGGACCACCAGUGGUCCCCAAGAACUAAAAUAUGGUCCACAGCCUCAUUGUUACUACACUGUUGCAACGAGAGUGACUGGUCUCGUAAAACCCUCUUAUAGUGCCAAGGCAACAGGCUGACUACCCACUGGAGCCAUUCCAUGUGGCACCUGGAAGCGAGGGCGCUUUGGUGUCCUUGUUUUUAGGCCUGUUCCUGGGGUUAUUUGGGGUACUGAUUCAGAAAAUUGCAUUGGAUAGACCACAUCAGCUCUAGAUUAUUAAAUAUGGUUUUCUGUGGGUGAGCAGAUGGCAGCUACUGGAUGGCAUAUGUUCUGUAUCAGAAACUAGAGCUGAUGUGGUCUAUCCAAUGCAAUUUUAUGAAUCAGCACCCCAAUAACCAACCAAAUCUAAAGUUGACCAAAAACUUAUUUGUAACCGUUUUGGUACUAACGUUGAAGAAUGGUUCCUGUCAAAAAAUAAAAUAAAAUUGGGAACCACUGAACUAAAGAGAGCUUACAUAAGAGCUUAUAAGAAUACCAAAAUUGUAUUGAUUCAAUGUAUGUUGAACUCUAAGUUACUCUAUCAAACUCAUCGGACGGGAUGCUUUUCAGUGGCAUACUUUUGCGACAGAGCCCACCAGCUCCCAUCCCACAAUGUAGAGCUACUUCCAGUGGGGCUCUGUCACAAAAACGAACUGGCACAUCUUCCCAUGAUGUAUUGGAUCAGUGUGAGGAAGCCAGGCAGCUGACACUUCUCCCUGUGGGAUGGUGUCACAAGUAAGUGUCACAAGUUCCCCACACCCCGACAGGCACUGCCGGAUUUGCCACAAUGUGUUGCAAUUCCGGCGGCCCAUGUGAUGAGGUUGUAUGACUUACAAUUGAAUAUAGGACUAGUUGUGCUCUCCAGGCAUUGUGUGAACCAUGUCUCCACACACUUUAAAAACAUAAAAAUGAGGGACAAUGUAUAAAAAUUUGCAAAAUAAAUGCUGGAAAUGUGGAGAUCAAGAAGGUACGUUCUACCACAUGUGGUGGACGUGCAAAAAGGCUAACAAUUAUUGGAAAAUGGUUCAUGCAACAGUUCAAGAGAUUUUAAAAAUUAAAAUUCAACUGAGACCUGAAUAUUUCCUAUUGAGUAUGAUAGGGGAGGAAGAAAAAU
RNAcentral lists this long non-coding RNA (3161 nucleotides) under Anolis carolinensis (green anole). RNAcentral's name for it is "lncRNA (ENSACAG00000042628.1)". Lineage: Eukaryota; Metazoa; Chordata; Lepidosauria; Squamata; Anolidae. The record is from RNAcentral.